AUUCCAGCUCCAAUAGCGUAUAUUAAAGUUGUUGCAGUUAAAAAGCUCGUAGUUGAAUUUCUGGUGGGAGUGUACAGUCCGACACUGAGUGUUGGUUCUUGUGUGUCUCCGGCCAUCCUUGGAGUGAAUCUGUCUGGCAUUUAGUUGUUGGGCAGAGUAUCUCCAUCGUUUACUGUGAGGAAAGGAAAGUGUUCAAAGCAGGCUUACGCCGUUGAAUCUUUUAGCAUGGAAUAAUAAGAUAGGAUCUUGAUACUAUUUUGUUGGUUUUCGGAAAUCGACUUAAUGAUUAAUAGGGAUAGUCGGGGGCAUUCGUAUUCAAACGACAGAGGUGAAAUUCUUGGACCGUUUGAAGACGAACUAUGGCGAAAGCAUUUGCCAAGAAUGUUUUCAUCG
This 393-nucleotide ribosomal RNA is filed under the name Eucampia sp. Its description in RNAcentral is "partial small subunit ribosomal RNA". It matches the Rfam family "Eukaryotic small subunit ribosomal RNA", at positions 582 to 975 of the family's 1831-position model. Lineage: Eukaryota; Bacillariophyta; Thalassiosirophyceae; Eucampiales; Eucampiaceae. The record is from RNAcentral.